UACGUAGGGGGCAAGCGUUGUCCGGAUUUAUUGGGCGUAAAGAGCGUGUAGGCGGCCAGGUAGGUCAGCUGUGAAAACUCGAGGCUCAACCUCGAGACGUCGGUUGAAACCACCUGGCUAGAGUCCGGAAGAGGAGAGUGGAAUUCCUGGUGUAGCGGUGAAAUGCGCAGAUAUCAGGAAGAACACCCGUGGCGAAGGCGGCUCUCUGGGACGGUACUGACGCUGAGACGCGAAAGCGUGGGAGCGAACAGG
This 252-nucleotide ribosomal RNA is filed under the name uncultured bacterium. RNAcentral's name for it is "partial 16S ribosomal RNA". It matches the Rfam family "Bacterial small subunit ribosomal RNA", at positions 524 to 776 of the family's 1533-position model. The record is from RNAcentral.